AACGAACGCUGGCGGCAUGCCUAACACAUGCAAGUCGAACGAGACCUUCGGGUCUAGUGGCGCACGGGUGCGUAACGCGUGGGAACCUGCCUUUAGGUUCGGAAUAACUCAGAGAAAUUUGAGCUAAUACCGGAUAAUGUCUUCGGACCAAAGAUUUAUCGCCUUUAGAUGGGCCCGCGUUGGAUUAGCUAGUUGGUGGGGUAAAGGCCUACCAAGGCGACGAUCCAUAGCUGGUCUGAGGGGAUGAUCAGCCACACUGGGACUGAGACACGGCCCAGACUCCUACGGGAGGCAGCAGUGGGGAAUAUUGGACAAUGGGCGAAAGCCUGAUCCAGCAAUGCCGCGUGAGUGAUGAAGGCCUUAGGGUUGUAAAGCUCUUUUACCCGAGAUGAUAAUGACAGUAUCGGGAGAAUAAGCUCCGGCUAACUCCGUGCCAGCAGCCGCGGUAAUGUGACUACUG
This 460-nucleotide ribosomal RNA is filed under the name uncultured bacterium. RNAcentral's name for it is "bacterial SSU rRNA". It matches the Rfam family "Bacterial small subunit ribosomal RNA", at positions 29 to 534 of the family's 1533-position model. The record is from RNAcentral.